CCUCCUAAAUGCAGUCAGCAAGAUUUCCAGGGUAUAAUUUAGAACAUGGAAAACUCCUUCAUAAAAAACCACAUCAAAAACAGGAAUAUAUUGGAACUGAAGUUGAGCUGAGUGUCUCAUACUUUUAAUGGAAACAAAGCAGUUGCUGGAUGUGAAUAAGGGUCUCGGAAAUAAUAAGAUUCCAAAAGCAUAGUCAAAGCCUCUAAGGGAACAGUGUCUAUUCUAGCCCUCCAUAUUUUCCCACUCAUUAUUAAUUCAUUUAAUCAAUAUUGUGAACUUGUAUAUGCCAAGC
RNA transcript from Odobenus rosmarus divergens (Pacific walrus), 292 nucleotides. RefSeq lists it as uncharacterized. NCBI's taxonomy places the organism in Eukaryota, Metazoa, Chordata, Mammalia, Carnivora, Odobenidae. The transcript has 2 exons. The record is from RefSeq and is a predicted model, not a curated record.